This 73-nucleotide transfer RNA is filed under the name Apaloderma vittatum (bar-tailed trogon). It matches the Rfam family "tRNA". From Rfam's summary of the family: Transfer RNA (tRNA) molecules are approximately 80 nucleotides in length. Lineage: Eukaryota; Metazoa; Chordata; Aves; Trogoniformes; Trogonidae. The record is from Rfam by way of RNAcentral.
GGCUGGUUAGCUCAGUGGGUUGAGCAGGGUGCUGAUAACACCAAGGUCAUGGGUUUGAUUCCUGUUCCGUCCC